Molecule: unclassified non-coding RNA, 3362 nt
Filed under: Hevea brasiliensis (rubber tree)
Lineage: Eukaryota; Viridiplantae; Streptophyta; Magnoliopsida; Malpighiales; Euphorbiaceae
Source: RNAcentral
GAGGAUAAGAUUAUUAUUUAUUAAAACCUUCAAUAGGUAGAAAAAGUAAGGAUUUUGGAGAUUUUGAAAACCCUCAAAAAUCUUAACUCAUUAAAAUAACUUUACUUCCAAACUUAUUAACUAAUUACAAUUACCUUCAAACUUCAUCUUCAAAAGCCUCCUCCCAAACAUAGUGUCAACUAAGACUAGAAGUUUUUAACAUCAGAUCAGCAUACAUUAAUCCAUUUGUUGUCACAGUAGACAUAAACAAGCAAUAAGCACAAACCUCUCUACAAUCCAUUAUAUCUAUACCAUAACUAUCUGCCAUCAGAGCAUCUGAUCAUACUAUGUAACCUAACAAAAGGUUUGCUGACUAGACAGCCUCAGCAAAACCAAGUUGAAGCUCACCAAAGUCGAACACAGUAUGAUACACUCUCAUGAACACAUCUCCAAGAAUCCUGUGAGCAAACAGUUUCAGGACAAAACCAAACAAAUAAGGGGGAAAUGAAGAUAGAAGUCAUAUGUAAUUGAUCUUGAAUUUCAAAGAGCAGUUUUCUAUGGCCAUGAAUCCAGAAAAAUAUUGCAUACCAGAGAGGACCUCUUGGAGGAGGUACGUCAAAAGCCAUGAACCCACUGAUGCAAACUGCUGCAAUGCCGUCUCCAGUUUUCAGAAUAUACUGCAGGUAAACAAGUGGUUUUCAAUAGGACAAAUAAGGAUGAUUUCUCCAUAUAAAUGAGCAACUAAGACUACAUGAACAGAAGAUUAACUUGUUUUGGUGAAUUUCAAAUGGAUCAUGAACUGCUCAUCAUGCACCAAAUUCCAGAAGAUGUCACAAAUGAGAAGGCAUCAUGAAAUGAAACAAACCUGCUCUGGAGUGAGAUUGAAAGGUUUAUCUCCUAUGGUAAAAGUGAUGUUUGGCAUGCUUAAAACGCUGUCACAAUCGAUCACUGACUCUCCCAUUGGACUUGGGAGGCUAUCGCAUAACUGGGUCAAGGAUCAUUCCCAGAAAUUAACACCACAUGCAGAAACUGGCUUCUGAACAGAAGUGGAGUUUCAGAAAUAAGUCACCUUAUUCACAUAGUUGAGUGCUGCCUCCUUUGUCUUCUUUUGUUUUAGUUGAUUCUGGACCCAAAUGACAAGCAUCUCACAGGCUGUGCAUAGAAGAUCAUCCCCAAUAGACGAUUCCUCCUUGUUUUCCUUCUCAACCACUGAUUCAAUCACAGUGCUGCAUGUAAUCAUGUUUCACAUAAAUCCAAUAUAUUCUUUGGACAAAGUUUUAAGCACUGAUAUCGGUUAAGACAAACUAGACCAAGAAUGACAACGGGUGAGGUCAUUAAGAAAGAACUAUUAUUACUAGACCUUAUUGAAAAGGAACAAUAUAGUCAAGAAUCAAAGGCAUUAAAGUGGUCAAAGAGAUAAUAAAUCAGCUAUGCAGACCGAAAGAAGUUGUGGACUAGUCAAGAUAACUCUAGAUUUCUAGUCUGUACAUAAUCAAUGACUGCCAAAGUCUCUGGCAUGUAAUAUGAAGUUGCAGCCAAAAAAAUUGAUCUGAGAACGUUAAAUUCCCUUACCUCUUAUACUGAGCCCCGUUGAAAAUGCAUAAACCUAGCUGUGAGCAUACUUUACCAGGUUGUACCUGAAGAGAACAAUACAAAUUUCAGUCUAUCUACUACAGGAAAUGCGAUAAAGAUUGAAAACAUGAGAAAAGGAUAAGCAAAAUAAGUGUCAGCCCACCCCUGAUAUCAGUAGAUCCCAUAUUAACUCUCCAUACUGUGUGAUCACUUCCUUGCACUCAGCACUCACAAUCCCUUCUGCUCCAAUGGCAUGAUUGAUUUCAGUCACAAUAGCUGUUGGACCAGCAAGCAAGGAUGUUCCUGAAUCCACAAUUGCAGCACAACCCCCUUGGCAGACACCUGUUGAAUGGUCUCCAAUUAGAAAAUCUCCCAUACUGAACUGCCAGUAACCUUUUUGGGUAAUUGGAACAUAUGUAUGUUUCCCCUUAUAGUGUUUUUCAUCAACACCACCAAAAACAAUCUCACCACCCUCUACAGCAUCUGGAUCCUUGUUGAGCCAGAAUGAGAAGACAUCAUCGCCUACAAGUUGCUGCUGCAUCAUAUUAUACCACACAGGAACAGCAUUCCCAACUGAGAUUUCCUGAAACCCAAGCCCAAGAAUUCCAUCAAACUUUGCCAAGACAAAUGUGAGACUUCCUUCUCGUGUAGCCUCAAUGAAAACUUGAUCCUUGACAAUGAGAUUUCCAACUUCAACAUUAUCUUGACUCAAGAAACCAACAAUUGAUCCAGAUCCAUACUGUAUUUCACAAGUUGUUCCAUUCCUGGCAUAUGUACUGGAUCUACUUGACUUGUACCUAGAAUGGAAAUAGCAGGCAAGAGACAAGUGGCAUUUUGAUGAUGGAAUCCAAAGAUUGGAACUGCCAGUAUCAAAUAUGACAGUGAACUUCUGUGGGGGCGAGCCAAUACCAAUUUCUCCCAGGUACUGAGCAUCCAAAUAGUUUUUAAGAGGUACUAUAUCUAUAUCUGAAUUAUGAAGCUCGCUGUGUCUACCAACUCCUGAUUUUCCUUCCUGCCUUGCAAGUCUAGCAGCAUUAAUGCUAUCGAGAUCCAGACGACGCUUCUUCAAACUUAUUCUCACUAGGCCAUCAGAGGUAGCAGGAAGAAGUAGGCAUGUCAAAACCCAGAAACAAAAUGCCAACCAGAGUAUUUGGUUCCCCAUAAUUAGGUAAACUCCUGCCAGAAAAUAUGACAGAAAGAUUCAGCUGGACAAAUCAAAUCAACAACAGGAGUUGUAGAUAAUCACAAAUAUAUCAGACGAGUAAAUGAAUUAAUGUUCUGUAAGGAAAAAGAUUAGUUCAGGGUAAUCUUUGAUGAUUAUAUGAUUGUGAACACUGUCAUAUUUCUCAUAUGAGGGUAUUCAAUAAUAAAUUGCAAGGAAAUGAAUCAAGAUAUAAAGCAUCGGGAUAUUUCACUGGGAGACAAUAGUACAAAAAGAAUAAAAAGAAUUAUUAGAAAACUAUAUUUGAAGCUGGAAUUCACCUAAUAACACUUGUUGAUCCAAAACAGCAAAUUAGAAAAAUAAAUCAGCAAUACCCACAAAAACACUGAUAGCCUGUGUCCCUUUUCCAAUUUGGAUUAUGCAUUUUUAAUUUUAUAAACACGCGCAUGCCCACAAACACACCCACAUGAGCAUCCAUGGAAUUCAUGGGAAUUCAACAACAGAAGGACAGAGGCAUUUAAUCAAAAGCAGAAACUGAGAGCCUACAAGUAUCUUCUGAUUAAAGUAACAAAAUAAACAGUAUCAAUCACAGUUUGAAGAAUUAAAGAUAAGGGUUAUUAUUACAACUUCUUAAUCAUCAAAACCAAUA